Long non-coding RNA from Oncorhynchus nerka (sockeye salmon), 235 nucleotides. RefSeq lists it as uncharacterized. The transcript has 3 exons. The record is from RefSeq and is a predicted model, not a curated record. Lineage: Eukaryota; Metazoa; Chordata; Actinopteri; Salmoniformes; Salmonidae.
UCCAUUGUUCACGCAAUGCAAAUGUCAAAUGCUUUUCUAUCUAAAUAUUGAAAGUGCAUGGGCAACGGAGAGGAGCAAAAUCAUGCAGUUUGAGGCCAUGUGGCAGGAAGUGAUACGGGCACCGCUGGAGAUAUGGUAGAGUAGCUGAGUUCAUAUCUCCACCCUCAGUAUGACAAGAAAACUACACCUUCUGCUGCUCUCUCUCUGUCUGACCUGUUUAAAUGGAGUAUGGAGU